GGCGAAGCAGAGAAGCCGGCCUCAGGAGGAGGAGGUCUGAAGGCCUCUGGAGUGCGCUACGCGGGGCGCCGGAGCUUCCGCCGGCCCUUCCUCUUCUCGUCCUCCUUCCCGCCGCCGCGGCCGCGGCCUCUCGUAGAGGAGUGGCUGGCGCAGGAGAGGGAGGCGCGGGCGGACGUGCUGCGGGAGAGGGAGCCGGAGCGGUCCAGACUACCGGUGCCACGCUUUUUUACCGUCAGAUGACUACGACCUUAAGUCAGAGUGCGCUAGUUUCGUCACUGACGAAAAGAGCCAACAAACAGUUGACUUUACAACGCCGAAGGAGGAUAUUUCCUCAGCUAAAGCCUGUAAGAGCAUGAGGACCUUCCACAAGAAGUCUGUUUCUUGCAAAGUCAAGAUUAGGUUCGUCGUCUACACUCGAGUUUCAAUCAAAGGUCGUAUCCGUUAAGCUAAGCCGUUAUGGGUUAAAACCUCUAACAAAGCGGGGAGAGUACGGUCAACAGCCGUGUGGUCAAUGGAUGUCGAUAGAGCACACGUUCCCGUUACUUAAUGUAUAACUUAUCGGAUCACUGCCGCUCUCCAAGUCGAGUACGUCUUUAAAACCUUUGGAACCUCUCUUGGUUACGUCAACGUUCAUAACAAAGACGAGACGUCUCAAUGUGAGGACUAUAGGUAGGUGACUCAAUAGACUGGCUCUACUAUAGUGACGAUUCUUGGUAUGACACCUAAACCGGAAGGAGUUCUAUGGUACAUACCUCAUUACCGUUGGACUACCCCUUCAAUCGCGUAAUGACAGAACGGUGACUUUGUUACCAACAACGAUUUCAAGAAUCCGACAUACGACGAAAUCCAUGAAGACAAACCAUUAAGAGGAGAAACUGAAGUCAUAAUUAUAAACUUUAUAAAAAAAGGUGAAAUGAAGGAAAACACAAAGAUUUGUAAACAUCGACGUUGAGUCGAAAUACACCGGUACCUCGAUACUAGGAAGAGUUCUUACUUCAGAAUUACCGAUUCUAAACACUCGAGCACCCUUACAGGGUAGGCUCAUCAUGAUCCUAACUUCGCAAGUUUGAGACGGUACAAGAAAACUCUAGAAGCUUCCCGACAUCAGUCAAUUACUGAAGUGCAACGGUCGGAUAACAACUUCCGUAUUAGCUACGUUACGCACGUUUCCUACUAUUUAACAAUCAUUGUCUCCCCACAGCAUGACGUGACGAACACGAGGCAAUACGACCCUUAGUAGUAGUUACGAAAACCAGAUUACGGUAACUAUUUCAUAAUAUAUCGUAAGAAUGGCCAGCGAGGGAGAGGAGUGUAGUUUCACUAUUUCAAAACACGCUACUACUCGAUAAACUAUACCAAAGGUUUUUGAAGUACCUAUAUGUAGGUAUGCAGACCCUAUAUGAACCUAUAGAUCACCACGUAACGUGACUCCUAGUGGUAGGACAUUCCUUUCCCUUUCCAGUAUCGAACGUGCGUGACUAUAGAACACGAACCAUCCAUGAUCGAACGACCGGUGUCUACAAUACGUGUUUUCGUCGGGGUACUGUAAUAGGUUUCUACACGUCCUCGGCCGAAACUCCCGUCAAGACUACUACGAAGAGAGAGGGUUACCUAUAUAAGUCAUACUCCGUUCAAAAUUUGAAAGUCUUCCAGAAGGUAUAAACCCACUGCCGAUAAACUUGCAAGAUAACAGUAGUAAUCUUAGUUUAUGAUGCUCUUCACAACGGUGUAGAAAACUGUCAAAGUUUUAAUACUGGUUGGAGUACUUGGAGCGUACAAACCACGACAGUGCUGGAAUGGUAUUAGAGGAAUUAUUCUCCUUAGGAUAACUACACAACAGGUAGUAAUAGUUCCUUACAGAGGUGUUAUUAUAUGUAUAAUGCUCCAGUUUUCAGUGAAGGGUAGACGUGAAGACAAAACUUCCUUCAAGUACGACAACGAUAGAGCCACUUCUCACCCUCCCACUUUUGUAUCAGAAUAAGAUGCCAGAACAACCCGACAAAUUAGAAGACUCCUCGUGAUGAAAUCAAACACAAGUCACAUUCUCCUUCAACCUACAACCCUAAGACACGGUACUGACGUCUCUAGUCAUAUGGCUUCUAAAAGAAUAUCAAGAAGUUGCACGAGAUUCAGUUUCGAACUCAAGACCUGGCUUCGAGAUAUAACGUGUGUAGGACUCAAACAAACCGGAGACGCCAAGAGGUUCGUUCAACCCGCCCUUCUACUCAUCACGUAAUCUAUUAUUGCUAGAUCGACUAGACCUUGAAAACGAAAGUCUACCACUUAGAUAUUUACGAGUGUGUCGGUAGUAUAGUCGUUCCACAGGAUUCGACAACGGUAGACAUUUUAUAGAUGAACCGUCACUGCUUUUUCAAUUUCUACUUACCCCUUUUAGUCACAUGGCUCAAGUUUACAGACUAGCACAUCUAUCGGUGCGGAACUUCUUCUAAAACCUCAUGUGUAUAUGACCAAAACACUACCAUCCACUACUGUAACAAUUUGGUCAUUCCUGUGAACGCUUCAUAACAUUGGACUUUAGUAACCGUCUUUACGAAGUCUUUCUCGUUGGGUCUACCUUGAGGCUAAUAUGGUCUAUACUAGAAUGACAACGUGAACCUGGACAACUCGUAAGUAAGAGCCUGUAUUAAAACCUCCGAGUUAGUUUACUCCUUUACUUCACACUGGUGCCCAGCACGGUUAACGGUUGAGGCGUGCAAGUAUCGGUAUUUUAGCACGACUGGUACUCGACGCUAAUGGAGGCCCGUAAUAAAGCUAGGCCCUACGUACUCUCGAAGAGCCUGCAGUAGUCCCAAGGCGAGCCCACCGUUCGCGACCUGUUCGAUCAGAUGACCAAGAUGAGUCCGCUCGACGGGUUUCGGCGGGAGCUGACGGCCACCUUGUUGGACUCGUCGCUGCUCGUCGCGAGGGUGGACUUGCGGAUGCGCCUCGACAGCAGCGACCGGCUCAAGACCAAGGACCUCCCCCACUUCCUCCUCUCGGAACGCCGCCAGAGCAGGGAGGACCUUAGCUCGUCCUCGCGGCGGCGCCAGCUCAAGCAGCGGAAGCGCCGGUUGGACCCGGUCACCCUCUACCAGCUCCGGCCGCAGGCGUCGCACCGCGUGGACAUGGGGGCCGACGCCCUGAGCCCGGCCGACCUCGUCGAGCUGCUGCUCGACGAGUUGUACGACGCCUGGCUCAUGCAGGCCAUGAGCGUCGUGCCUCCGCCCGUCUCCACUGAACUCAUGCACUUAGACCUGCGUGCAGCGGCACGCGAAACAUCUAUCUAUGUCCCUGCCUGCGACAGACGGUACGAAAGAAGUGUCUCUUAUACGUCACAUCAGACCCAAUCGUCUCGACAAAAAAAAACCGCCCUACCCAAUCGUCUCGUCUCGACAAUGAGCACGGACGAACCACGUGUACCACGGCUGGGCUGGCUGGACGACUCACGACUGUCUGCGUGCGUCGUGGCUAGGUAGCGGUGUGUGUAGUGU
Molecule: ribosomal RNA, 3491 nt
Filed under: Triticum aestivum (bread wheat)
Lineage: Eukaryota; Viridiplantae; Streptophyta; Magnoliopsida; Poales; Poaceae
Description: partial small subunit ribosomal RNA
Source: RNAcentral